Molecule: long non-coding RNA, 317 nt
Filed under: Salvia miltiorrhiza (redroot sage)
Lineage: Eukaryota; Viridiplantae; Streptophyta; Magnoliopsida; Lamiales; Lamiaceae
Description: long non-coding RNA (SMIL_LNC001562)
Source: RNAcentral
UUGGAUCUGAAUUUAUAAAUUCUGAAAGACUUCUUUGUAUACAACAUUGAUUGUAGUCGUACCGAUACCACUAUCCUCAUUAGAAAUGAAGAAUUUCAAACUACGACUACAACUCUUGAAAUAGCAAUAUACAACUGGUCAUGUGUAAAAAUAAAUUUUGGCAAAAAUAAAUCAACAUGUAAAAGAAAUUGAUCAUGAUUUUUGUUGAUAGUCAUUGCCUAUUAAAUAAUAAGAGGAAAUUGAUGACGUCGAAACUUAAAAGGCAAUCUUGGAUCCUCCUAUAAAUCCCACAUUAUUUGACUCACUUAAACUAAAUU